This 315-nucleotide unclassified non-coding RNA is filed under the name uncultured Tomentella. RNAcentral's name for it is "sequence contains ITS2". Lineage: Eukaryota; Fungi; Basidiomycota; Agaricomycetes; Thelephorales; Thelephoraceae. The record is from RNAcentral.
AACGCACCUUGCGCCCUUUGGCUAUUCCAGAGGGCAUGCCUGUUUGAGUAUCAUGAACACCUCAACUCUCAUGGUUUUGCCGUGAUGAGCUUGGACUUUGGGGGUCUUGCUGGCCUGUGGCCGGCUCCUCUCAAAUGAAUCAGCUUGCCAGUGUUUGGUGGCAUCACGGGUGUGAUAACUAUCUACGCUUGUGGUUCCCCACCAGGUAACCUUCAGUGAUGGAGGUUUGCUGGAGCUCAUAAACGUCUCUCCUUAGCGAGGACAGUUUCUUGAACGUUUGAUCUCAAAUCAGGUAGGGCUACCCGCUGAACUUAA